CUGGAAGCCCUUUAGGCAGCUCAUGAAGCCCCAGACUCUUUGUUAACACUGAGACUGUCUCCAGCGAAGUCUUGGGCCCUGCUAACAGUCUCUGUCUCCUCUUCACUGCCUUGUCCAGGAACCUCUCCAGUCUCAUUUCCAGCUGCCAGCAGGUCACAUCCAUUCAGCUUGCUAAUGGUGUUCAGCAGACCCGCACUUAGGAGAGCCCAGGAAGUCGGAAACAGGCCGGUGCCCUCGCACCAGGACGCUCCUUGGUGCUGCGGAGAAGUGAUGGGCAUCUCUCCAUCCAGACUCCUAGGUUGGUGGAGAGGAGAAGCACAGAGUGAAGAGCGAAACCCCGUUUCACCCCCAGCCUGACCCUCCUCUCCCACAACCUCAGGAAUAAUCAUUGUUGACGGAGGCCCAUCUCUCCAGGAACUACAGAUGAAGAGAAACGGAGAAAUUGAGGAAAGGAGACCUGGAGGAAUUUAUGCCUCGCAGAAGUGGUGUGGAAAUCAAUAUGACAAGCGGAGAAUCAGGGGUGCUGGUCCCCUAAGGUCAUCCACCAUUUUACUCUAUUCCCAAGGUUAAAUACUCAACUGCUGAGAGCCUUCUCUGACUGAGGUCCUUACUGCUCCAGCCGUCACAGGCUACAAUCUGCUGGGUCCCAGGGUGGCCGACAUGGCGAAGCCGGCCUGGUGGGAAACCCCUCUCCCCCCAAACUAAAUAAACUUACCCACUUGAAGGCCCA
This 730-nucleotide long non-coding RNA is filed under the name Ursus americanus (American black bear). RNAcentral describes it as "lncRNA (ENSUAMG00000008848.1)". Lineage: Eukaryota; Metazoa; Chordata; Mammalia; Carnivora; Ursidae. The record is from RNAcentral.